AUGCUUUGGCAGCAAAUAUGCUAAAAUUGGAAUGAUACAGAGAAGAUUUGCAUGGCCCAUG
This 61-nucleotide small nuclear RNA is filed under the name Meriones unguiculatus (Mongolian gerbil). Lineage: Eukaryota; Metazoa; Chordata; Mammalia; Rodentia; Muridae. The record is from RNAcentral.